Molecule: ribosomal RNA, 466 nt
Filed under: uncultured bacterium
Lineage: Bacteria
Description: SSU rRNA
Rfam family: Bacterial small subunit ribosomal RNA
Source: RNAcentral
AGGACGAACGCUUGCGGCGUGCCUAAGAAAUGCAAGUCGAGCGGGGGAAGCAAUUCCCUAGCGGCGAACGGUCGCGUAACACGUAGGCAACCUGUCCGAAAGACCGGGACAACAUUUCGAAAGAGGUGCUAAUACCGGAUGCGGUCGGAGGAAGACAUCUUCAUCCGCCUAAAUCAUUUAUGGCUUUCGGAGGGGCCUGCGGCCUAUCAGCUAGAUGGCGAGGUAACGGCUCACCAUGGCGACGACGGGUAGCUGGUCUGAGAGGAUGGUCAGCCGGACUGGGACUGAGAGACGGCCCAGACUCCUACGGGGGGCAGCAAUUAGGAAUCUUGCGCAAUGGGGGCAACCCUGACGCAGCGACGCCGCGUGGAGGAGGACGGCCUUAGGGUUGUAAACUCCUUUUGACGAGGAAGAAAAAUGACGGUACUCGUCGAAUAAGCCCGGCUAACUCCGUGCCAGCAGCCGC